Long non-coding RNA from Lolium perenne, 668 nucleotides. RefSeq lists it as uncharacterized. Lineage: Eukaryota; Viridiplantae; Streptophyta; Magnoliopsida; Poales; Poaceae. The record is from RefSeq and is a predicted model, not a curated record.
AGAAAAAAAAAAAUCCCACCCCGAUCCAAAUCCCUCACCGGCCGGCGUCGGUGGGGUGGUGACCUCAGCUUCCCCGACGGAGCGGCGGCCGCGGGGGGGAGGGAUGAUGGUUUCGGUAACGCACCCAAUGAAGCAAAAGCCGCGCGGCGGAGCUGCAACGGUCGGAGUCGCCGGCAGGUCGGGAUUCCCCUAGCAGAAACUAUGAGGUAGUGACAGUUGCAAGCCUGCAAUGACUAUAUCCUGAUCUUUCAACAACGACGAAUAUGAUAAUCAUCUGAAGCAAAGGCCAUCUGAGCAGAUGAGCAUCAUCAGAGUUAUGCAGUUGUAAAUCAGAAGAGCAUCACCUGCAAUUUAAAUGCCGAACACGGAUAAGAUGCGAGGUACCAAAUAGGAUGUAAAAUAGACAAUGUGAUCAGGAAGCACACCAUUUGCGUGGCCCGACAUUUAGCAUCUUACCCGCAAAUUCAUCCUAUUCUAUGCUUAUGUGCAUUCUACAUGUAUUUAUUUUCUAUUGUGGCUAGUUGUGGAAAAUGUGAUCAUGGCGUACGUUGUGAUGUUAGUAUGUCGAAACAUACGAGGCUUGUGUUGUGGUGUUAGUAUGUAGAAAUAUGAGGCGUAUGCUGUGAUGUUAGUAUUUCGAAAUAUACAAGUCAGUAAUUUGUAUUGAA